UUUCUUGGUGUAGCUUUUGACUACUGCAGUAUUCCCUGCGGUUCAUGCAACUCAUCUUUCGCUUUUGUUCUCAACUUCUGGGUUUUCAUCUUUCAAGCUUCAAUACAGGUGUGCGGCGGGGGAAGUUGUGUGUUGGCGUCGUCUUCACCAGUUUAUAGUCCGUCGUGCGUGCCCUUAAUUUAUCCUCUUUGCAGUCCAGAUUUCUUCAUUUCGUGUUUUUAACCAGUCGAUCCUCUCUCUUCUCUCUCUCCUCACCUGCGGCCGUGGGCAGAUCGGAUCGCGUCUGAAGCAAAAUUAGUUCUACUAGCUGCCGUCUUCGAUAAGGUGAAGGUUGUUUGGCGUGGAUUUAAUUUCGUGCAAUCAUGCAGCUCAUAUUUUUGAAAUUGAUGGUCAUGUCUUCGUCUCUCAAGUUGAUUUGUGCAUGCUGAGCUCGCCAUCUUCAUUCCUCUGCUCAACUCUCAGCCACCAGUGGGUUGCGUUGGUUCCAGUCGAAGUUAGCCCUUUGUCUGUGGAUUUUUUUUUCUUCGAGAGAAGAGCUUCAAACUGAUUCCACCUAUUAUUUUAUUCACGAGAAUCAACUCCACAUACAAAGCUUCCGCAGGAUAUCGAGUGGCAUUUUAUUGGGCAUUUGCAGAGCAAUAAAGUGAAACCUUUAUUAACUGGUGUCGCAAACCUUGCCAUGGUAGAGAGUGUAGUCGAUCAGCAGGUAAACAUCACUAUGACAUCCAAAGCAUAUGUACAAGAAGAAGAGAGCAGUAGACUGAAACUAAGCCAACUUGAUCAACAGCUCCAGCGAGGUCAUAAAUGACAGUGAUGCUGUAUCUGAAAUCUCAAGAUAAGGUAAUUAGAUAAUUGAUUUAGUGGGUGAUGAAUUUCUGAUAAGUUGUGGGUGUUUUAGGUAGGUUUAUAUGUGUUGAUUCAUCUAUCUCUGCAAACUUGGCUCAAUAAGUGUGCAUCAGGUGUAUUUUUAUCAGCUUUUCUUUCUACCUCAUCCACUAUAUCAUCCAUUGAGGUAAGUUUCGAGAUCAUCCACUGUAUGGUAUAUUUAGGAGUAGUAUUUAAUCCCCAGGUUGCUUAUGUACCACUCACUUUACACUAAUGGCUCCUGUAUCUUAGGGUAAAGUCAAUAAACAAUAAUGAUCAAAUAUCAGCUAUAUAUUGCUUUUCUGAGUCAGAAUAACUUAUAUAAUUGAUUUUCUGCAUUC
Long non-coding RNA from Tripterygium wilfordii, 1205 nucleotides. RefSeq lists it as uncharacterized. The record is from RefSeq and is a predicted model, not a curated record. The transcript has 8 exons. Lineage: Eukaryota; Viridiplantae; Streptophyta; Magnoliopsida; Celastrales; Celastraceae.